AAUCCAUAGGUUAAUGAGGCGAACCGGGGGAACUGAAACAUCUAAGUACCCCGAGGAAAAGAAAUCAACCGAGAUUCCCCCAGUAGCGGCGAGCGAACGGGGAGGAGCCCAGAGCCUGAAUCAGCAUGUGUGUUAGUGGAAGCGUCUGGAAAGGCGCGCGAUACAGGGUGACAGCCCCGUACACAAAAGCGCAUGUGCUGUGAGCUCGAUGAGUAGGGCGGGACACGUGGUAUCCUGUCUGAAUAUGGGGGGACCAUCCUCCAAGGCUAAAUACUCCUGACUGACCGAUAGUGAACCAGUACCGUGAGGGAAAGGCGAAAAGAACCCCGGCGAGGGGAGUGAAAAAGAACCUGAAACCGUGUACGUACAAGCAGUGGGAGCACCCUUUGGGUGUGACUGCGUACCUUUUGUAUAAUGGGUCAGCGACUUAUAUUCUGUAGCAAGGUUAACCGAAUAGGGGAGCCGGAGGGAAACCGAGUCUUAACCGGGCGUUAAGUUGCAGGGUAUAGACCCGAAACCCGGUGAUCUAGCCAUGGGCAGGUUGAAGGUUGGGUAACACUAACUGGAGGACCGAACCGACUAAUGUUGAAAAAUUAGCGGAUGACCUGUGGCUGGGGGUGAAAGGCCAAUCAAACCGGGAGAUAGCUGGUUCUCCCCGAAAGCUAUUUAGGUAGCGCCUCGUGAAUUCAUCUCCGGGGGUAGAGCACUGUUUCGGCUAGGGGGCCAUCCCGGCUUACCAACCCGAUGCAAACUGCGAAUACCGGAGAAUGUUAUCACGGGAGACACACGGCGGGUGCUAACGUCCGUCGUGAAGAGGGAAACAACCCAGACCGCCAGCUAAGGUCCCAAAGUCAUGGUUAAGUGGGAAACGAUGUGGGAAGGCCCAGACAGCCAGGAUGUUGGCUUAGAAGCAGCCAUCAUUUAAAGAAAGCGUAAUAGCUCACUGGUCGAGUCGGCCUGCGCGGAAGAUGUAACGGGGCUAAACCAUGCACCGAAGCUGCGGCAGCGACACUGUGUGUUGUUGGGUAGGGGAGCGUUCUGUAAGCCUGUGAAGGUGUGUCGUGAGGCAUGCUGGAGGUAUCAGAAGUGCGAAUGCUGACAUAAGUAACGAUAAAGCGGGUGAAAAGCCCGCUCGCCGGAAGACCAAGGGUUCCUGUCCAACGUUAAUCGGGGCAGGGUGAGUCGACCCCUAAGGCGAGGCCGAAAGGCGUAGUCGAUGGGAAACGGGUUAAUAUUCCCGUACUUGGUGUUACUGCGAAGGGGGGACGGAGAAGGCUAUGUUGGCCGGGCGACGGUUGUCCCGGUUUAAGCGUGUAGGUGUGUGUUCCAGGUAAAUCCGGU
RNAcentral lists this ribosomal RNA (1341 nucleotides) under Salmonella enterica subsp. enterica serovar Enteritidis. RNAcentral describes it as "partial 23S ribosomal RNA". It matches the Rfam family "Bacterial large subunit ribosomal RNA", at positions 161 to 1546 of the family's 2925-position model. Lineage: Bacteria; Pseudomonadati; Pseudomonadota; Gammaproteobacteria; Enterobacterales; Enterobacteriaceae. The record is from RNAcentral.